CCAGACUCCUACGGGAGGCAGCAGUGGGGAAUUUUGGACAAUGGGCGCAAGCCUGAUCCAGCUAUUCCGCGUGUGGGAUGACGGCCCUCGGGUUGUAAACCACUUUAGUAGAGAACGAAAAGGAGCUAUCGAAUAAAUAGCUCUGCUGACGGUACUCUAAGAAUAAGCACCGGCUAAUUACGUGCCAGCAGCCGCGGUAAUACGUAAGGGGCAAGCGUUAUCCGGAUUUACUGGGUGUAAAGGGUGAGUAGGCGGCGAUGCAAGUCAUAUGUGAAAUUCCGGGGCUUAACUCCGGAGCUGCAUAAGAAACUGCGUUGCUUGAGUGCAGGAGAGGCAAGCGGAAUUCCUAGUGUAGCGGUGAAAUGCGUAGAUAUUAGGAAGAACACCGGUGGCGAAGGCGGCUUGCUGGACUGUAACUGGCGCUGAGUCACGAAAGCGUGGGGAGCGAACAGGAUUAGAUACCCCAGUACU
This 471-nucleotide ribosomal RNA is filed under the name uncultured bacterium. Its description in RNAcentral is "bacterial SSU rRNA". It matches the Rfam family "Bacterial small subunit ribosomal RNA", at positions 331 to 794 of the family's 1533-position model. The record is from RNAcentral.